This 88-nucleotide transfer RNA is filed under the name Candidatus Kuenenbacteria bacterium RIFCSPHIGHO2_02_FULL_39_13. RNAcentral describes it as "tRNA-Ser". It matches the Rfam family "tRNA". From Rfam's summary of the family: Transfer RNA (tRNA) molecules are approximately 80 nucleotides in length. Their secondary structure includes four short double-helical elements and three loops (D, anti-codon, and T loops). The record is from RNAcentral. Lineage: Bacteria; Candidatus Kueneniibacteriota.
GGAAGGGUCGCCUAGUGGCCGAUGGCGCGCGCUUGGAAAGCGCGUAUACCGCAAGGUAUCGCGGGUUCGAAUCCCGCCCCUUCCGCCA